This is a non-coding RNA of Ictidomys tridecemlineatus (thirteen-lined ground squirrel), 2329 nucleotides long. NCBI's taxonomy places the organism in Eukaryota, Metazoa, Chordata, Mammalia, Rodentia, Sciuridae. The record is from RefSeq and is a predicted model, not a curated record.
UGUCCUCUAAGGACUGGCCACUGAGCCAGCACUUGGCUGGAGACAGAGCGCUUUCUUUGUUUGCAGCCUGCCUGACGAUUUAUUUCUGAGACUCAAGAGAGGCUCAGCCAUUUUGGCCUGGCUGCUCUGGGAAAAGCCCCUCCCACUCCCUAGGGGCCCACACACCUCUGAAGGGCCACUUUGGAGGGUCUGAGGAUGCUCUCAUGAAGACCUGAGAGGGCAGGCUCAACCCUUCGCAUGGGAAGUGCUCCAGAGAGAAAGAGAGGGCUUGCAAUACAGGAUAGUUCCCACUCGCCGCCUUUGUUUUGGAAUUUGGAACUUGAGGGUUCAUGUCUAUUUCGGGAGGAUAUUAGCUCAGAGAGUCAGGAGUUCCUUGUCUGGAGACACGAAGCCAAGAGAAGAACAGGACAUUGGUGGGAGCCUCCCCCAACCCACCGAGGGAUGUACAGGUGGUAAACAGGACCCCAAAAGGAAACAGCACCUUGACAAACAGGGACGCCAAGGACUCAGACCCCCCUCCACCUUCCAGCUCUUAAGGUCAGACCAUGCUGGGAUCAAUACUGAAAGACUUCAACAGGAUGACGCUUCCACAGAGUCGAUGCCCGCACCGUGCCCUCCUCAAAUAUGGCCUAGGAGCAGCCCUGGAGACAGCCCCUCACUCUCCAGGGGAUGGCUUGACCAACAUUUCUCGGCACUGAGGGACUAUGGGCGUGCAGUACCGCGCCUGGCCACUAAUGGAAUUUCAAAGCUGCGAUGCAUGUGAACAACAUGGAAGAGAUUUCUUCAACAACCAUAAAGUGACACUAAAACCAUCUGUGGUUUCUAUUGGCUGCAGGGUCACACAGGUAUGGCUCACAUGUCCGUGGUUUGUGACCUUUAUUCCAAAUGGAAAGCAAAGAAUAUAAAAAAGCUAUUCUCAUGCAAGUUUACAGAGCCCUGAGUUCCCUCUGCACUGUGGCCUGUGAGCAGGAGUCCCUGGGCUGGACAUACAAACGGCCACUUUGGAAGCUAGAGGGGUCCCUUCUGCAGAGUUUGCAAGGAGGCUCAGUCCCUGGUGACCUUGCGAAGCUCCAGGGAACAGGUGUGAAGGAGGGGAGAGAGGGCACUUUCUUGUCCUCAUGUGUGCCUGACCUAUAGCACCAGUUUUAAAGUAUUUGAUAAUACUUUAAUAAUAUCUUACAUUUAAAAAUGACUGUGUUUCUCAAGGCUUAUCUAUUGUGAUCCUUUAGAGAUUUAUCAAGGUCACACGGCUAGUGAACGUUGAUGUCAACUCAGAUCUUGGGCUCUUUAUCCAGCAUCAAAAAGUGGAAGAGAUGAGGCUGAGAAGCAAAAGUAAGGAGAGACCAUGGGGAACCCUGAGUCCUAGACAGAGGCACGAAGACAAAGUCCUCGUGGGGCAGUGGGGAGCCAAGGAAGGUUCUUGAGCAGGAGAAUGAUUUGGAAGCCUUGGCAAAAUUAAUCUGGUGAUGGUGUGUGGUGUGGGCUAUAUUGGGAGAGAGGGGAUGGGGACUGAGAGGCAUCACUUGGUGGCUGCAGUGAUUCAGGAAUGAAUAAUGACCCACGCCUGGCCAAUCAUCUUCUCCACUACGGUGAUUGGUUCAGAGAAGAGCAUGUGACUCAAAGUGGGCCAAUCAGAAUGAAUCCUGGGAAUUUUGCAGCUGACAGCCCUGUGGUCCCUUACAAAAAAACAAAAACAAAAACAAAAACAAAAAAACCAUUUAUCUGUCUAAAAAUAAAGCUAGAAUAGGGGCAAAUAGUGGUGGUGGCAGUGAAGAGAGUCAUUGUGAGUCCUAAUGAUAUCCUCUGAGUCCCUGGAUCCAGCCAUGCCUGAAAUUGCCAUGAACUUUUCUCUUAUGUGACCUAAGAAGGUUUUCUGCCCCAGAUAAUAUGUAUUUAUGUUAAGCUUGCUUGGCAGUGAGAUUCUGUUGCUGGCUAUCCGAAACAGUCCUGCCCAAUACACCAGAAGGGCACCUAGGUCAAAGGGCAGCAUUCUUUAGCCCAUAAACCAAAUUUGCCUUAUUUAUGCGUUUUUGUUUUGUUUGGUGUCAGGGAUAGAACUCAAGCCCUUGCACAUGCUCAGCAACUGCUUUACCACUAAGCCAUGCCCCCCCCCCCACCAGCCCUGGUCUACUACCUCUUUGUUUUAAAUAAAGUUUUAUUGGAACACAGGCAUGCUUACAUAUUAUCUUUGAUUGUUUUUGCACUAGGAGUUAGAGUUGAGCAGUUGUGACGGAAACAACGUGGCCCUCAGAACCUAAAUAUUUACUAUGUGGACUUUCACAAACAAGAUCUUCCAGAUUCAUCUUCUGGAUUAAUCUCUUCUUACCUU